UACGUAGGGUGCGAGCGUUGUCCGGAAUUAUUGGGCGUAAAGAGCUCGUAGGCGGUUUGUUGCGUCGGCCGUGAAAACCUGCAGCUUAACUGUGGGCCUGCGGCCGAUACGGGCAGACUUGAGUUCGGUAGGGGAGACUGGAAUUCCUGGUGUAGCGGUGAAAUGCGCAGAUAUCGGGAGGAACACCAAUGGCGAAGGCAGCUCGCUGGGACGUUACUGACGCUGAGACGCGAAAGCGUGGGGAGCAAACAGG
Molecule: ribosomal RNA, 253 nt
Filed under: uncultured bacterium
Lineage: Bacteria
Description: partial 16S ribosomal RNA
Rfam family: Bacterial small subunit ribosomal RNA
Source: RNAcentral